UUCUUGAUUUUCCAUCUUCUUCAUACAGAUCUAGAAAUCCGUCGGUUACCGAUUCAUUCCUAUUAAUUCCUUCAUCAAUCCAUCGUACACGACCUAUCUUCAAUGCCAUCUUUUCUCUUAGAAGGCGGUGGUGGUUUGACUAUAAAAAGGUUAGCAUCCCUACACUCUUAAUCAUCCUAUCACACUAUUGAACAAAUCAAUCUACUUAUUUACUGAGAAAUGGCUUGCUCUCGAGAUCAUCUAUCCAUCUCGAUACGUUUUGAGAUCGAAGAGAUGGGUAAAGUGGCUGUUGGUGCGACGGUUGUCUGCGCAGCGGCGGUUUGCACGGCGGCGGUGUAUAUAGUGAGGCGGCAGAUGGAAAGCUUGGGGGAAAUGGGAGCGUGUGAUAGAGAUCCUGAGGGUGAUGGAGGAGGAUUGCGGGAGGUGGGAAUCUGAGACAAGUGGCUGACGCAAUGACUGUUGAGAUGCACGCGGGCCUCGCUUCUGAAGGUGGAAGCAAGAUUAAAUGCUCAUCAGUUAUGUUGAUAAUCUUCCUUCUGGACGAUGGUGCCAGCUUUUCUCCAAGGUUUUGCCGUUUUUUUUUUCGAGUUCACCCUUAAACCAACUCAAACAUCAGAAAUAUUAAACGUGGUGGCGACCUCAUGGGAGUAAAUAUGCUUCUUCUGGAUUCUAAGUUUUAAAUUGUCUUUGGAGGCUAAGAUUGUGGAUCCGGAUACGGGUCGUGACUUGGGGGUUGAUCGAACUGGCGAACUCUGGUUCCAGAGUCCUACCGUGAUAAAGGUUAUUCCAAGAACGAGUAAGCUACUGCUUUUACUAUUGAUUCAAAAGGAUGGCUGAAGACUGGAGUUUUGUGUUACACUGACAGUGAACGUUUUGUCUUUACUGUUGAUAGAUUAAAGGAGCUAAUCUAAUGCAAUGCUUAUCAGGUCGUUUAUUCCUCGAUGCCACAUCAGUGACACACUGCCCACAGUAGAGACACCAAAUGCAGGCUCCGUAAAGAACAGAGGGGUUCCUCUGCCACAUCUUCCAAGUAUGGUGGUGUUAGAAAAAUUGAAUCCAUCACACUAUCUGAACUUAAUAGCUACGAUCUCAAUUCAGCCCCAGGGUAAAAGCUGUUCCAAAACCCGUCGAGCAGAAGAUCUAGACCACAAAAUCUAACAAGGCCGUAAACCCAGACCAGCCUCCACCAUUUGUCAAAUUUUUGUCUAGAGAGGAGUGAAGCCAGCAACAAAGGAAGAAUAAGAAUAAGAGAAGCUACCUAAGUUAACCAAAGAGAAAGAGGAUAUUAUUAAGAAAGAAGAUGAGAAGAGAAAACAAAAGACUAUGCAAGUUGAAGGAGCAGCAUCAGUUGGACGAGGAGCUAGCAAGAGGCAAAGGAGAGGAAGGAGAAGGGAUAACAAAAAUAAAAAGUAAGAAAAGGAGUAGUCAUAUAUAUGUCUAUAGUGAACGAACCAGGUUUUCAUCUUUUUUUCCUGCAGAUUUUUGAUUUGUCUUCUUUUACUUGCCUUCCUUUGAUAAGGCUUGAUAGUUUAGUACAUAGAUUUGGUAGUGAUAUGAGUCUAAUGCAAAAAAAAUGAAGAAGUGUCGCAAACUCACAAUCUUUC
Molecule: long non-coding RNA, 1604 nt
Organism: Raphanus sativus (radish)
Lineage: Eukaryota; Viridiplantae; Streptophyta; Magnoliopsida; Brassicales; Brassicaceae
Exons: 6
Source: RefSeq, a predicted model, not a curated record